Molecule: ribosomal RNA, 405 nt
Filed under: uncultured bacterium
Lineage: Bacteria
Description: bacterial SSU rRNA
Rfam family: Bacterial small subunit ribosomal RNA
Source: RNAcentral
UGGGGAAUAUUGCGCAAUGGGCGAAAGCCUGACGCAGCCACGCCGCGUGAGUGAUGAAGGCCUUCGGGUUGUAAAGCUCUGUCUGAGGGGACGAAUACUGACGGUACCCUCAAAGAAAGCACCGGCUAACUCCGUGCCAGCAGCCGCGGUAAUACGGAGGGUGCGAGCGUUGCUCGGAAUCAUUGGGCGUAAAGCGUACGCAGGCGGCUUUAUAAGUCGGGUGUGAAAGCCCAGGGCUCAACCCUGGAAAUGCGCCCGAGACUGUAGGGCUUGAAUGCGGGAGAGGGAAGCGGAAUUCCUGGUGUAGAGGUGAAAUUCGUAGAUAUCAGGAGGAACACCGGUGGCGAAAGCGGCUUCCUGGCCCGACAUUGACGCUCAUGUACGAAAGCGUGGGGAGCAAACAGG